This 1529-nucleotide long non-coding RNA is filed under the name Neodiprion lecontei (redheaded pine sawfly). Its description in RNAcentral is "uncharacterized LOC124294749". Lineage: Eukaryota; Metazoa; Arthropoda; Insecta; Hymenoptera; Diprionidae. The record is from RNAcentral.
GGAUAGGAGCGGCGGACUUUCGCGGAUAUCGGUUCUGUCGGUUAGGUGCCAGCCGCCGUCGCGUUCGCCGCUCCUCCUCGAGCGCCGAGCGAGCGUCGUCCUCAGGCCUCGUCGAGUUCCUCGCAACCCUGACACGAUCGGAAAUCCGACCACUCCUGUCAUUCUUCCGACCUACUGAACAGACCCACCCGCCGUUCCGUCCUGUGAUCACGAUCGAGCAAAGCGUUCGCUUUAUCAACCCUUCAGUGCCCGGCCUGCCAGACAUGGCUGUUUCGUUUUUAAGCCUCACGGUUCAUCGAUUUUCAUCGAGAAAAUAACUACGAAUAUUUGACAAGCUUUUCGAUGCUGUGAAGAAAGUUUUCGAACCCGAGGAUCGUUAACGGGGUCAUUUGUUCGGUUACUGAACAUGAAAAUUGAAGCUUUCUGAAAUUCAGAAUUUUCACGUAUUUACGUAUCGAGAAAUGUCUUACAGUUGAGAAAUAUACAAUUUCAUCCCUUUAAUUGAAGUGAAGUCAGAGUUAUGAAUGAAAAAUGCGUCGUCGCAUGCAACUGUCAACUUUUGUGCAUCAAGUUUAAAUGGAUAGCGUUUUUCUAUUUCCAUAACUCGAUCCACAUUUUGAAUAUCCGAGCUGAGAAAAGUCCAUUUUACGGAACUCAAUUCAUUCUUGCAGUGAAAGAAACUUUGGAUUUGUAACGUACCCGUUGCCGGGAAUUAAAGUAAUGGAAUACCGAAGAGUCUCGUAAAUCUUCGAAUAUCAAACAACUGAAAUUAUUAACUAUUAAAUUCCAUUUUCGAUAAACGACCAUUAAAAACGAAGCAGAGAGACAGAGCGGGAAUGAAAUAAAAACAUGAAACAUGCCACGAUUCAAGGAUAAAUCCAACCGCCAACGACUUUACACACACACGAAAUACGUCUGUUAUAAUUUAUCGAAGAAAUUAUUCACCAAGAGCGACGUAAUAACUAACACACAAAGUAAAAUACACACACAUACAGAAACAAGCCUGGCAUAAACCACUGAAAAAUAACAACUGUGAAGCGUGACUUUCUGGUGAAGAAAUUUACAAGAUAUACAGUGUUAAAUAUGGGGUAAAAUAAUAUUGGGUGAAUUAUACGGAUCCUGAUGCUCGUUCGAAGCGUCGAAAAGAUAGUGCGGUUGUAACGACAGUGUAAUUUCUGUUAUGCGUACCGUAUACAUACAUAUGUAAAGUGGAACAAUCAAACCUGAGUCACGUAUGUUUUGAGGUGCGAAAUUAUGCCUGUACGUGAGGAGACUUUGUACAUACCCAUAAAUUUCCAACGAUUAAAAUUUCACUUCGAAUUAUUGAAGUCACGCGGUGCUGCAGCUCAGAUUCAGUUCCGCAUCCGAAGUUCUCAAUCUGUUCCGCCGGAGAAAAAACUUGUGAGUACGAAACGGAGUCUUGGUAUGUAGGUACAAUUUACACGCGAGAAUUGUGAUCGAAGAAUCGAAAUUGACAAAAAAAAAAUAAAAAAUUGCUACUACUGCAUGGGAGUGUUAGAAUAAGUUUU